This 497-nucleotide ribosomal RNA is filed under the name uncultured bacterium. RNAcentral describes it as "partial 16S ribosomal RNA". It matches the Rfam family "Bacterial small subunit ribosomal RNA", at positions 28 to 507 of the family's 1533-position model. The record is from RNAcentral.
GACGAACGCUGGCGGCGUGCCUAAUACAUGCAAGUUGAGCGCUGAAGGUUGGUACUUGUACCAACUGGAUGAGCAGCGAACGGGUGAGUAACGCGUGGGGAAUCUGCCUUUGAGCGGGGGACAACAUUUGGAAACGAAUGCUAAUACCGCAUAAAAACUUUAAACACAAGUUUUAAGUUUGAAAGAUGCAAUUGCAUCACUCAAAGAUGAUCCCGCGUUGUAUUAGCUAGUUGGUGAGGUAAAGGCUCACCAAGGCGAUGAUACAUAGCCGACCUGAGAGGGUGAUCGGCAAAAUUGGGACUGAGACACGGCCCAAACUCCUACGGGAGGCAGCAGUAGGGAAUCUUCGGCAAUGGACGAAAGUCUGACCGAGCAACGCCGCGUGAGUGAAGAAGGUUUUCGGAUCGUAAAACUCUGUUGGUAGAGAAGAACGUUGGUGAGAGUGGAAAGCUCAUCAAGUGACGGUAACUACCCAGAAAGGGACGGCUAACUACGUG